Molecule: ribosomal RNA, 253 nt
Filed under: uncultured bacterium
Lineage: Bacteria
Description: partial 16S ribosomal RNA
Rfam family: Bacterial small subunit ribosomal RNA
Source: RNAcentral
UACGUAGGGUGCGGGCGUUAAUCGGAAUUACUGGGCGUAAAGCGUGCGCAGGCGGCUUUGCAAGACAGGUGUGAAAUCCCCGGGCUUAACCUGGGAAUGGCAUUGGUGACUGCACGGCUAGAGUGUGUCAGAGGGGGGUAGAAUUCCACGUGUAGCAGUGAAAUGCGUAGAUAUCCGGAGGAACACCGGUGGCGAAGGCGGCUUCCUGGACCGACACUGACGCUGAGGCGCGAAAGCUAGGGGAGCAAACGGG